Molecule: non-coding RNA, 1525 nt
Organism: Epinephelus fuscoguttatus (brown-marbled grouper)
Lineage: Eukaryota; Metazoa; Chordata; Actinopteri; Perciformes; Serranidae
Source: the annotation of a RefSeq genome assembly
AAGAUAUUGUUCAUUAAAAAGGAGGAGUCAAUGCAAAACUCAGAUAUCUUCCACCUCUACUUAUCUGACUGCAGAGAGGAGGACAGAGAACAGUGGACACACAGUUUAACAUGAUGGACUAUAGGACAGGACUGCUGCUUUUAACUAUCUGCUGGGCAGGUGUUGAUGGUCAGACUCUGACAGAAUCUGAACCAGUGAUUAAAAGGCCUGGAGAAUCUCACAGACUGACCUGUACAGCCUCUGGAUUAGACAUUAGUAGCUACUGGAUGGCCUGGAUCAGACAGGCUCCUGGAAAAGGACUGGAGUGGAUUGCCAUGAUCAGAUAUGACAGUGCUGAGAUCUACUACUCUCAGUCAGUUCGAGGCCGGUUCACCAUCUCCAGAGACAACAACGUCGAUCAAGUGUAUCUGCAGAUGAACAGUCUGAAGACUGAAGAUUCUGCUGUUUAUUAUUGUGCUCGAGACACACAGUGACUGGAGUUGGUUGAGCAGCUGUACAAAAACCUACAGUAACCCCUCUGACUGGGCUGAUAAACAACAACUGUCUUUGCUUUGGGGUUGAAAGAAAUUACUGCAUGUGCUAAUUUAGGAGCAGUAUACAGAAUCAGGGGCUGAAGGUGCAGACUCUGACCAAGGCACAAUGAAUGCACUAAAACACUGAAUAUGAUACUAAGAUAGGGAGAAAAGAAUAAACCUGAUCAUGAGACACCACUUUGAUCCAACCGUAAUUAUAAAACUGGAACAGCAGGACUUCUGAACACUUCACCCAGAGUCCCACAGGCCACUCUUUAUCUGAUAUUGUACCAAAUGUAAAAAGAAAAAAACAACAACAAUAAAUAAACAUUAUAGAUCAUUGCAGUGAAAUAAUUGUAUCACCAUACAGACUGGAAGAAGACUCAAACAGGUCAGAUCUCCUCUCUCUCAGCAGACAGUGACAGAAUACAACAUCCACAGAGUUCAGACUAUUAAACAGACCUAAUGAACAAAACGUCAUGUGUCUCCAUGCUGAGUCCCUCUUUCAAAACUCUAGAGGGCAGUCUAGGACUGACUGACUUUGACUCAUUGACUCAUACUGAUCAUAUGAUUAAAACACAUGCACUAACAGUAAGGUAAAUAAAGAACAGAGGUGAUUUGAAUGCUCUUAUCUGACAUUAACACAUCUACUGAUGAUGGCAUAUUUGUUCAAAUCAAACCCUAGUUCCCAUUUUCAUCUCAUCUAAUUAUGUAAACCAUUUAGUUGCUUGAUUGUGACGUUCAACAGCACGUUACAAUUUAUAUUUAUUCAUUAAUUACAAAAAAAGCACCCAAGCAGUCCAAUCAGCUGUAUCCUUACUGUGCUGAGGAGUCAAUGCAAAACCCUGUUUAUAGAAUUCACUAAUAGAGGCCAUUUCUUGUUCAUGGUAGACAGAAGAAAAGUUAUGUAUUUAAUGCAUCUGUGUAGAUGUCAUCUGACUUCCACUGCAGCCAACAUCAGUAUAGAAGAGAGUUAGAUAGGCUUGAUUUUCCCUGAAUACAAGAUGUAUAUG